RNAcentral lists this transfer RNA (73 nucleotides) under Felis catus (domestic cat). It matches the Rfam family "tRNA". From Rfam's summary of the family: Transfer RNA (tRNA) molecules are approximately 80 nucleotides in length. Their secondary structure includes four short double-helical elements and three loops (D, anti-codon, and T loops). Further hydrogen bonds mediate the characteristic L-shaped molecular structure. tRNAs have two regions of fundamental functional importance: the anti-codon, which is responsible for specific mRNA codon recognition, and the 3' end, to which the tRNAs corresponding amino acid is attached (by aminoacyl-tRNA synthetases). tRNAs cope with the degeneracy of the genetic code in two manners: having more than one tRNA (with a specific anti-codon) for a particular amino acid; and 'wobble' base-pairing, i.e. permitting non-standard base-pairing at the 3rd anti-codon position. The record is from Rfam by way of RNAcentral. Lineage: Eukaryota; Metazoa; Chordata; Mammalia; Carnivora; Felidae.
GCCUUGUUGGCUCAGUCAGUAGAGCAUGUGACUCUUGAUCUCAGGGUUGUGAGUUCGAGCCCUGUGUUAGGUG